Molecule: long non-coding RNA, 994 nt
Organism: Castor canadensis (American beaver)
Lineage: Eukaryota; Metazoa; Chordata; Mammalia; Rodentia; Castoridae
Source: RefSeq, a predicted model, not a curated record
AAAAGUCGUCUGUAAUGGAGUGGAGGUGUCAUUCCAGGGCCAGGAGUGGCGGGGUUUCCCCAGUUACUCCAGAAGCUCAAAUACCUAUAUCUGUUCUAGUAGGAGAAAUAUGCAGCUUUUAGUGGCCAAGUGUCCAAGAUUUUCUGAGCCAGUCCUGGUUUGAGGCAGGACUUUGGGAGGACUCUCUUAAAGGAGUCACUUCUGAAGGAGGUAUAGCUGAAAUUACUCAAUCCAAGUUGAAAUCGGGUGUCCUGACCACUCCUGGAGAUUCAGACCUCAUUUAUCCUUGUUCCUUCAGAAGUUAUCUCAGUUGGCUGCAAGUUCUCCUCAAGAGAAUGCUAUUGGUCAACACAUUGUUACUCUGAGCCAGAAGGCAUUGGCAGACAGUCAUUUAACUGAAGAGAGUCUGAAAGUCGUAGAUAUUCCUGAACCAGAUGACCAGAACACUGGGAUACCAACAGCCCCUGCUCCUUCCUACUCACAUAGAAGAAGCCCAGUAAUUUAUACCAAGAAGUCUUGCCAGAAGGUCAUCUACUGGUCAGCCACUGGCAUCCUAUGACCAGAAGACUGGGAAAGCAACAUUAUCUUCUACUUCCUACCCACAUAAAGAGAAGACCACUAUUUUCUACCAGCAGGCAUUGCCAGAUAGUUAUUUAACUGAGGAAGCUCCAAAAUGUUCAGUGAAUUGACGUCUCAAGAACUUUUUUUUUGGACAUGCUGGGACUUGAACUCAGGGUCUUGCACUUACUUACCAGGCAAGCACUCUACCCCUUGAGCCAUACCCCCAGCCCAUUUAGUUCUUUUUCAUAUAGGUCAUUGUGCUUUUUACCUGGACUGACCUUAAACCAUGAACCUUCCAAUCUCUACAUUUUGAGUAGCUGAGAUUACAGAUAUGUACCACCAGGCCUGGCUCUCGAGAACUUUUAAUAAGUUGUAGGAUUAAGAGCACAUGCUGAGCACUGUGAUAGGCAUUAACUUGCACAUACUGCUUUCC